This 209-nucleotide ribosomal RNA is filed under the name uncultured prokaryote. RNAcentral describes it as "partial 16S ribosomal RNA". It matches the Rfam family "Bacterial small subunit ribosomal RNA", at positions 524 to 732 of the family's 1533-position model. The record is from RNAcentral.
UACGAAGGGUGCUAGCGUUGUUCGGAAUUACUGGGCGUAAAGCGCGUGUAGGCGGUUUGGCAAGUCGGUCGUGAAAUCCCUUGGCUUAACCAAGGAACUGCGAUCGAAACUACUAGACUCGAGUGUCGGAGGGGAUGGCGGAAUUCCCGGUGUAGAGGUGAAAUUCGUAGAUAUCGGGAGGAACACCUGUGGCGAAGGCGGCCAUCUGG